Molecule: ribosomal RNA, 493 nt
Filed under: uncultured bacterium
Lineage: Bacteria
Description: partial 16S ribosomal RNA
Rfam family: Bacterial small subunit ribosomal RNA
Source: RNAcentral
ACGCACGCUGGCGGCGUGCUUAACACAUGCAAGUCGAACGGUGAAGCGCCUUCCUUUUUGGUGGGUGUGGAUGAGUGGCGAACGGGUGAGUAACACGUGAGUAACCUGCCCCCUUCUUCUGGAUAACCGCAUGAAAGUGUGGCUAAUACGGGAUAUUCUGGGUCUGUCGCAUGAUGGGUCUGGGAAAGAUAUUGUUUCGGUGGGGGAUGGGCUCGCGGCCCAUCAGCUUGUUGGUGGGGUGAUGGCCUACCAAGGCGGUGACGGGUAGCCGGCCUGAGAGGGUGGACGGUCACACUGGGACUGAGACACGGCCCAGACUCCUACGGGAGGCAGCAGUGGGGAAUAUUGCACAAUGGGCGCAAGCCUGAUGCAGCGACGCCGCGUGAGGGAUGGAGGCCUUCGGGUUGUGAACCUCUUUCGCCAGUGAAGCAGGCCUGCCUCGUUUGUGGGUGGGUUGACGGUAGCUGGAUAAGAAGCGCCGGCUAACUACGUG